Long non-coding RNA from Heterocephalus glaber (naked mole-rat), 618 nucleotides. The record is from Ensembl. Lineage: Eukaryota; Metazoa; Chordata; Mammalia; Rodentia; Bathyergidae.
AGCAUUGUCCCUGGAAUUGUGGAGUCCCAGGGCUCCAUUCACCCCAGCUGGGUCCAGUCAUCACCAUAGAUGGGAUGGAGCCUUUGGUAACAUUUGGUAACAUUGAAUGUUGCAGGUCCCAAUUCCAUUCUGCCUUCAAGUGGACUGAUGAGCUGGGUUGGAAUGAACAGCGUACCCAGACUGCUCUUCCACAAAGAUUCAGGUAGCAGGACACCAGUAUCUUCAAUAUCCAACCUGGAGGGAGUGUAUUUUCCCUAACAACCUGAAGAGCUUGGACAAAGGUUCUUCCCAGUUGAGACAGAUGAGACCACAUUCCGUCGCCUGAUUGCAGCUUCUUGGAUCCAUAAGAAAAUUGACACCCCUUCACCUGACCCUUCUGUCAAAGCUGCUAUAAUAUAAUCCAUGAGUCACAAUAUCUACUGAUGCUCCAAGAACCAAGGCUAAUUGGAUGCAUGAACACUAGCCUUCCCUGCAAGGACUCUGGACUCAGAUUCAGCUGGCCCCUUGGAGAGCUGGAUCAGCUGCCCCCACCCUCUGUCCACCAUAGAUGGCAGCCAUUGCCUGUGCAAGCCAUCCGCAAUCCCUAUGUUUCUGCACCUCAUUUCUGAAAAAAGCAGC